This 14732-nucleotide long non-coding RNA is filed under the name Cicer arietinum (chickpea). Its description in RNAcentral is "long non-coding RNA (CARI_LNC002769)". The record is from RNAcentral. Lineage: Eukaryota; Viridiplantae; Streptophyta; Magnoliopsida; Fabales; Fabaceae.
UCAAUGUUGUAUAUGAUGAUGAUAUGCUUAAAAAUGUUGAAUCAUGUUUUUUGUGUUUAGGUGAUUCGCAUAUGGCAUAUAUAAUCAUGUACAAGGCUCGUGAUGUCUGAUCUCUUCUAAUGGGUUACCUUUGAUUAGUUAAAGGAUUCAUUAUAAAAAGAAUGAAUAGAAUAGUCAACAGGUGGGUCAUUGUUUUUAUUUUACACCUUAGAUGAAUGCUGGUUAGUUAGAUACUCUUAUUUGUUUAAUGUAGAAAAAGCAAGAUACGUUAAAUUGCACCAAACUCAAUCAUAGACAUGCUAGAAUUGGUACUUGAAGACAGUACAUAUGAUGAGUUCAUGUAAAAAUGCACUAUAUUCCUAACGUAGAUACAAUAGAUCUACAAGAAUAUAUUGAAUGCAAUACACCUUCAAUGAAACUAACAGCAAGACCAAACUUAGUGAUACCGUGAAUCAACCAUCCUUUGUCAAAUCAAAAAUAGGAACAACUUGGAUGUUUAUUUUGCCAUGGCCGAACCAAAAGCUUGAUCAGCUGUGGUCAUCUACACCCACGCUAUAGCAAGCUAGCACUGCAUUGCUACCUCCCACAAUUCUUCUAAAUUUGUUAUCUUGAUUAAAACCUUACUCUUAGCAAAUUCCAAGAAUACAAUUUUACAAAUUCUACUAUCUCUUCUAUUGAUGAUUCUUUAUUUUAUUUUUUAUCAUGUGCUUUCGAAAAUUAUCCAUAUGCAUNNNNNNNNNNNNNNNUUGGCAACCAUCACUAAAAGUUUUGAAGACGUUCUAUAGUGACAUUUGGAAGUAUUACUCAUUACGUCUAGCCACUCUGCCAUCUCACACCACACUCUAGAGAAGAAUUGACAUUUGAAAAACAAAUAGUUUGCCAUUUUAAUUCUCUCAUUACGCCUCACUCCUUUGUCCUCCGUAGGAAUUUGAAAUUAUUCAAUGUCUUUCUCCCAACACACUUUAUCCCAUUUUACCUAGUAUACUUUUUUCGCUUUCUCAAUCCCUCCCUACAAAAAUUGUUUAAAUAAAGAUUUAGCUUUAAAAUUAGGUCUAAUGGAGUGUUGAAGAAGGACAAAUAGAAGACAAAGAGCCUAGAGAGAACAUAGCGCAACUUGACAAUUUAAUAUCUUAUUGAAAUAUUCUUACUCUUUCAAGACAAUAAUAUAUUUCUCACCUUCAACAAAAUUGUUUCUCAAGUCUUCUUACUUCAGGGAUUUUCCCGUAUAGGUAAACCUAAAUAAAUGAAUGGGAAUUUUCCAACUUAAUAAUUUAACAACUUUGCAAAGUCUAGUAACAAAUCUCCAAUACAUUUACACGCAUCAAACUACUUUUAUGAAAAUUGACCUUCAACUUUGAUAAUUGCUUGCACAUUUUUCCACCUUUUGCACUCCAUACAAUUGUGUGGUAUCAACAAACAGUGAGUGUAAGACAUGUUGAUUAUGAUUUCUAAAUCUAUACCCUACAUUUUUUUUUCUUUCUAAUACCACUACUUUUUCAUCAUGGCAUCUAAACCUUCAGUUGGGACGAGGAAGAGAAAAGGUGACAAAAGUCGCUCAACUCCUUUUCCAUAAUAAAGUGCUUUGUCGGACUUCCAUUGACCAACACAAAAAUUAUUAAUGUGUUCAAACAUUCCUUUAUCCAUUUCCUCAAUUAAUCACAAAAAUCCAUUAGAUUGUUCUCCCUAUCUUGUCUUGAACUUUUCCUCUCAGCCACAACGACCAAUCGCGCUUCUUGGUCUUGAUCCCUUAGACUAUGUCUGCUUCUUAUAUUUUUUAUUUUUCAGGUUCUUACUAUUUUCUUCUUCCUACUAAAUUAAUUUCUCUCUAUAAAUAGAUAAACUAUGUAAUAUGAAAUGAUAAAUCAACUGAUAUCAAACAAACUCUAGCACUCUAAUUAGCAACUCAACUACUACCUAUUACCAAACUAUAACAAACUUUUAUAUGUUAUGUUAAUAAUUGAUAUAUGAUAUGUUGUGAUACUAUUUGUUAAUUGUAAAUUUUAUAGUUAAUUUGUGAACUUUAUGAUAAAACUCUUUUAGCAUAUUAUAUUGUUUUAGUUAAUUUGUAAAUGUCUCUUUUCACAUAUUAUAUUUUUAUUUUGAAUUGAUGUUAUGUUGAAUCUUUGAUAAAACACUUUUACGAAUUUCAAUUGUAAUAUUUUAAUUAAUAUUUGUCGCUCUCCCAAUAUUUUGGACAAGAUCCGCCACUGGUUGUAUGUAACUCCAAUACACAAAAUCACAUGUUUUCUCAAAAUCAACAUUUGCCUAAGGGGAACGGUUAAUGCUUACCAAAGGGGGGUUAAAAAUAGCUGAAUUGGAGGUAAAUGUGUCUACUGUUACUCUACAAAUCUAUCUUUUAUAUUGAUUAUGAAUAAAUGGUGAGAAUGACUCUUAAUCUCUUAAUUCCUAUUUUGAUUUUUAUGCCUACUUGGAAUUCCACCCCAUCCCCUUCAAAUCUGCAUAGUAACCAAAACAAAAAAUGAAAGAAAUAGAGACAAUGAGAAAGUGCAACAAAAAAAAAAAACAUAACCUGCUCAACUUGUGACUCAAUUUAUUUUAUGAGUUUUAAGAGUUCCAUGCCAGUUCUCAUUUAUCUCAGUAUUAUUUGAAUCAUUUUCUAUAUGUCUGUCCAUACUCCAUCAAAUACUCUUCUUAUGUUGGCAUUAAUAAGAGACAAUGCCUCUCACAAUCUUUAAUCUUUCUUCCAUUAUUCUUGGAUGCUGCACUUGAAACUAUAAUAGCGGUAUAAUGUAUUUUGCAUCCUUCUGACUCAUUUUGUAGUUACAUUAUAUUACUAUAUACAUUGUAGUCAGUCUUCAUGCACUUGACAACUAUGUAGAGAUCAGAUGUUAAUACAUAGUCUGGGAAUUAGUUUGAUACUUGCAUUUUUAUUUUGAGUGCUUGAUCUUAUUUAAGUUUAAUUUUAAGUACUUAAUCCCUAAGAUUUAGAGGGUUAAAAAAAAUCUUGAAUAUGUGUGAAGAAGUAUGUUGAAAUUGAGUUUAAUAUGAUAAAAUGAUUUUUCAUCAUCUCAAUUGAAGCAAAGAGCGUCCAAUAUAUAUGAGAUAAAUUUAUUAUUGUCUCCCUUAUCUUUUAUCUUUCACCUUGUCAAAGCAUAUGAAAAAGACUUUUUACCUUUUUUACCCUCUACUAUUUGAUAGUAAACAUUUCUGAAGUUAUUAACAUUUUGAUAAUUUUAAAUUUUCGAUUUUUUUAAAGAGUUCUAGAAAAAUUGCAUUUCGAAAACUGUGUUCAUCCAAAUUCUUGAUUGUUUUUUUCUUAAUUUUUAAAAAAAUUGCAUUUUAGAAGUUUCACAUUUGUUCAAAUUUUUCAAAUUUUUCAAAUUUUAUUAAACUUUUGAAAAAAAAUACAUUUCAGAAGUUUCACAUUCAUUCAAAAUUUUGAAUUUUUUUAAAACUUUUAAAAAAAUUGCAUUUAAAAAGUUUCAUAUGUAUCAAAAGUUUCGAUCUUUUUUUAAACUUUUGAAAAAAUUACAUUUCAAACGUUUCACAUUAUUUCAAAGUUUCAAACUUCUUUUAAACUUUUAGAAAUUUUUUACUAUCAAGUAGUUUAAGGUAAAAUUAUCUUGUCAUGUGUUUUAAAGGAGUGAGUAAAUGUGAGAUGGUGGAUGAUAACUUUCUCUAUAUAUGAGGAAUUAUUAAGUGAGAGGAGUUUUCACAUGAGAUAGUGAAAUAAUUAAAUUUUAAUCAUACAAUCAUACAUAGCUGACUGUGAUAGAAAGUAUCGUAUAGUCACUUAAAAAAGUCACAUGACUUUUUGUUUUAAUUUUAACUAUUCAUGACUUGAUCAAUGACUAAGAUUUAUCCUUUUUACAUUCUCAUUUUAAAACUCAUCCCAUUUGAUAUGUUUCCUAUAUAUAUAUACUUAUAUAUUUUUCUAGGCAACAAACUUUAAAUCGCCAAAAGAUGAUAGACGUUCCUCUGAGUCUAGUUAUUGGCCUGAGGAUCAUGGAACAAUAUCACUAAAAACAAUUUAUAUAUUUUUUUGAACUUCUAAGUUUGAUGUAGUUGUUUUGUAUGUUUAGCCACUUCAAAAUAUUUUGGUUUUAUAAUGUUCAAAUUACUUUAUUUAUUCGUUUAAUUAAGUUCUAGUAUAGAGGUCGUUAGUUUUGAAUAUAUUAUAUGAAUGAGAUUUAGCCAUUUACAAUUAAAUAUUUAUAUAUCUUAAUUAUAUGAAUGAUAUUUUUAAAUAUUAUUCAAAUUAAUUUAAAAUUAAUUGUUAUUUAAUAAGUUAUUAAAAUAAAUUUAAUGAAACUUGAAAAACCAAGUCAGCAAUUGGACAAGAGAUUUUAACGGCAAUAGUGCCUAAUUCUUAGCUUCUAACGGCUGCAUUACAUAUGGAUCAUUAAUCUUUAAGUUUACUUUUUAGAUAUUCAACAAAUACAGUAUUCACUUGUACCUACUUCUAUCUAAUUACUCUAAAAGUCAAUUUCCAAGUAAAACUUACAUCAGCUUCUCCUUCUCUUAAAAUAAGGUCAUGGCAAGAACUAAAGUCAAUUUGUGCAGCCUUAGCCCCUAUAAGCUGUGAAUGUUUUUAAUCAACUUUAUCAUUUUUGGUGGCUUAAGUCCUCACAAAUUUGUGGCGGACUGUGUCACAAAUUUGUGAGGGCUUAAGCUUUCACAAAUGAUAAUAAAAAAACCAACUUUUGUGGUCGUUUUUGCCGCCACAAAAAUUUGUGAAAUUUGUGAUGUGAUGGGGUUAUUUGUGAGUGUCUUAGGCCGCUUCAAAUGUGUCUGUUGUAGUUGUUUUUCUCCCUUUGUGAGGGCUAUUGGCUGCCACAAAAUCUGAGUUUUCUUGUAGUGAUAAACCUAUUGGAAUAAGUUGAUAUUGUUGGGUUUUUGGCUCCCUUCCUAUGUGGAGAAAGGCCCAAUAUGUGCAAGCCCAUGUGUCUCACUUAACCAAGUGAAGAGAGGUCAGAUUAGUGAGAGAGAGAGAGCUGAAAUCAGAGAGUGAGGCAAAGAGAAAAGCGAGAGAGGAAGAGCAAAAUCCAUUUUCGCAUAAAAUAGAGCAGCUGCACUAGAUUCACGAUUUCUCCUUCGUUCACCGUUGGAUCGGGCUGCAAUUUGGACAGCAGGUUCGUGACUCAUGGUACUUCCAUCUAACUGGUUGGAUCGUCGAUCGGAGGUCUGAGGUGGGAGAUAUUGAGCUCGUACAGUAGCAGUAUUUCCUGGUUUUUCUGCUGAACUUUGUUCUCAAUUUCAUGUUUGUUUUCUCAUUGUUUUGGCUGAUUGUUGUGCUGGUUACCUUGCUAUUUUUUGGCUGGUUACUGAGCACGAAUUUGUACCAUAUUUGAAACUCUCAUGUACCCAUAUUGUGUCCUUUGUGGUAGUGAUUUUAGUUGCUGUGAUUAUUUGUUGUUGCUCCUCACAGAUUCUUGCAAGUUUGGGAAAUUGAUUAUCCGCUGCAUAUUGCUCUGUUAGAGUUGUUAUUGUUAUUUGUUGUUGAAUUUCCCAUCAGAGUGGCAUCAGAGCUCUUUGGUUAAGGGGCUGUUUGACUUGUUUGAAUGAUGGAGGCAAAUAAAAAUAGAAUGAUUUGUUUGAAUGACACUAAUUAUCACUUAUGGAAGGGAAAAAUGAAGGAUCUGUUAUUUGUGAAGAAUUUGCAUCUUCCUGUGUUUGCUAGUGAGAAGCCAGAAUCCAAGACUGAUGAGGAUUGGAGUUUUGAACAUCAGCAGGUUUGUGGUUUUAUUCGGCAAUAUGUAGAAGACAAUGUUUAUAAUCACAUUGCUAAUGAGGAACAUGCAAGAUCCUUGUGGAAGAAGAUUGAAUCUUUGUAUGCUUCUAAAUCAGGGAAUAAUAAGUUGUAUUUGUUGAACUCCUUGAUGAAUUUGAGGUACAAGGAGGGGACUUCUAUUUCAGAUCACUUAAAUGAUUUUCAAGGGCUCCUAGAUCAAUUGUCAGGUAUGGGUAUCAAAUUUGAUGAUGAAGUGUUGGGACUAUGGCUACUGAAUACUCUACCAGAUUCUUGGGAAAUGUUUCGGGUUUCAAUUACAAACUCAGCUUCUGAUGGUGUUGUCUCUUUGCAAAGUGUAAAGGGAAGUGUUCUUAAUGAGGAGAUGAGAAGGAAGGCACAAGGUACUUCAUCUCAUUCUGAGGUACUUGUCACUGAGAACAGGGGCCAUAGCCAAAGAAAGGAACCGAAAGGGAACAGACAGAAUAACAGAAGUGCGAGUAGAGAGAACAACAGAAGUAAGUCCAAGUCCAGAUACAAGAAUGUGGAGUGCAAUUAUUGUCACAAAAUGGGGCACAUACAGAGGAACUGUUUCAUAUGGAAAAGGGAGAGCAAAAACAAUAACAGUAAGCAGAGAGAUAAGAAUCAUGAUGAUGAUGACCGUGUUACUACUGCUACUUGUGAUGAUCUGAUUAUUCUCCGUGACUAUGACUCAGUCAAUCUUGUAUCAGAUGAGAGCAUCUGGAUUAUUUAUAGUGGUGCUACAUUGCAUGUUACACCAAAGAAGGAGUUCUUCACAUCUUACACUUCUAGUGACUUUGGAGUGUUGAACAUGGGUAAUGAUGGUGAGUCUAAGGUAGUUGGUAUUGGUGAUGUUUGUUUGCAAACCAACAUGGGAGUACAGUUGUUGCUUAGAGGAGUCAAACAUGCUCCAGAUGUUCGCUUUAAUUUGAUCUCUGUGCAGAUGCUUGAUGAUGGUGGUUAUGAUAAUCACUUUGGUUCAGGAAAAUGGAAACUCACCAGAGGUAACUUAGUUGUGGCCAGAGGGGAGAAAAUUAAUAAACUGUAUUGGACUAAAGCAUUGGUUGCUAAAGACAGUGUGAAUGCCAUGGAUAUGGAGGCUUCUUUGUGGCACCGCAGGCUUAGUCAUAUCAGUGAAAAGGGGCUGAAUUUUUUAGCUAAAAAGGAUUUACUUCCGGGAUUAAAGAGUUCAGAGUUGGAGAAAUGUUCUCAUUGCAUGGCUCGUAAGCAGACUAGAGUAUCCUUCAAGAAACAUCCUCCCUCAAGGAAGUCAGAGUUGCUUGAAUUGGUGCAUUCUGAUGUUUGUGUCCCGUUGAAGGUAAAGUCAUUUAGUGAUGCACUUUACUUUGUUACUUUUAUUGAUGAUUGUUCCAGGAAGCUUUGGGUCUAUGCUUUGAAGACAAAAGACCAAGUUCUGGAGAAAUUCAAAGAGUUCCAUGUUAUGGUGGAGAGACAGUCAGGCAAGAAGUUCAAAUGCAUUCGUACUGACAAUUGUGGUGAGUAUUGUGGACCAUUUGAUGUUUAUUGCAAGCAGCACGGUAUCAAACAUGAAAAGACUCACAUGAAAAGACUCCUCCUAAAACUCCUCAGCUGAAUGGUUUAGCAGAGAGAAUGAACAAGACAUUGAUUGAAAGAGUUAGGUGUAUGCUUUCUGAAGCAAAGUUGCCUAAGCAUUUCUGGGGUGAAGCAUUGUACACGGCAGUGCAUGUUAUUAAUCUGAGUCAUGCAGUUGCUUUGAAUGUUGAGGUGCCAGACAAGAUUUGGUUUGGCAAGAAUGUCAGGUAUGAUCAUUUGCGUGUCUUCGGUUGCAAAGCAUAUGUGCAUGUUCCAAAGGAUGAGAGAUCCAAGUUGGAUGCGAAGACAAGACAAUGCAUCUUUAUCGGUUAUGGUCAGGAUGAAUUUGGCUACAAGUUGUAUGAUCCAGUUGAGAAGAAAGCUGUUAGAAGCCGUGAUGUGAAGUUCAUGGAAGACCAAACGAUUGAAGACAUUGAUAGGAUGGAGAAGACUACACCUGAGAUUGAUAAUGGUUUGUCUGAUGUUGAUCCAGUUCGGAUGCCUAUACAUGAUCUGGAUACUGCUGAAAAUAAUGUUCAGAAUGAUGAGCAACAUGGUGAUGUUGGUGAUCAGCAGCUUGGAGAUGAUUUUGAUGUUCCUAAUGAUGAUGCUGAAGAAGAACAUGAGAUGUCACAAGAUGAGGAUCUUGGUGAUGCUCCUGAACCACCUCAAGCUCAAGUUUGGAGGUCUACUAGGCAGAGGAAACCAUCCACCAGGUAUCCUUCUGAUGACUAUGUUACCUUGACUGAUGGAGGCGAACCUGAAUGUUAUGAUGAAGCCAUGGAGAGUGAUGAAAAGAAGAAGUGGUUGGAUGCUAUGCAAGAUGAAAUGAAGUCUUUGCAUGAUAAUCACACUUUUGAUUUGGUGAAACUACCUAAGGGAAAGAAGGCUUUGGAAAACAGGUGGAUCUUCAGAGUGAAGCAAGAAAGCAAUUCUACAUCUCCAAGAUAUAAAGCCAGAUUAGUUGUGAAAGGUUUCAGACAGAGAAAGGGUGUUGAUUUCAAUGAGAUUUUUUCUCCUGUGGUGAAGAUGUCAUCCAUUAGAACUGUGUUGAGUUUGGCUGCUACUCUUGAUUUGGAGGUAGAGCAAAUGGAUGUAAAAACUGCUUUCCUUCAUGGUGAUUUGGAGGAAGAGAUUUACAUGAAGCAACCUGAUGGUUUUCUUGUUAAAGGCAAAGAAGACUAUGUGUGUAGGCUCAGAAAGAGUCUAUAUGGUUUGAAGCAGGCCCCGCGUCAGUGGUACAAGAAGUUUGAGUCAGUUAUGUGUGAGCAAGGCUACAGGAAGACUACUUCUGAUCACUGUGUCUUUGUUAAAAAGUUUGCUGAUGAUGAUUUCAUUAUCUUGUUAUUGUAUGUUGAUGACAUGCUUAUUGUUGGGAAAAAUAUUUCCAUGAUUAUCAGGUUGAAGAAGCAAUUGGGCGAGUCAUUUUCCAUGAAAGACAUGGGAGCUGCUAAGAAGAUUCUUGGUAUAAGAAUCAUGUGUGACAGGAACAAGAAGAAACUUUGGCUGUCACAAGAACACUAUGUUGAAAGAGUAUUACAGAGGUUCCAGAUGGAAAAUGCUAAGGCUGUAAGUACUCCUCUUGCUACUCAUUUUAAAUUGAGUACUAGUCAGAGUCCUCCCAAUGAAGCUGAAAAAUCAGAUAUACAACGAGUUCUUUACGUAUCUGUUGUGGGUAGUUUAAUGUAUGCAAUGGUGUGUACAAGGCCUGAUAUUGCACAUGUUGUUGGUACAGUUAGUAGAUUUCUGUCUAAUCCAGGUAGAGAGCAUUGGAAUGCUGUGAAAUGGAUUUUGAGGUAUCUUCGUGGUACUACCAGUUUGAGGCUUUGUUUUGGAGGUGAUAAGCCUACUCUUGUGGGAUAUACUGAUUCUGAUAUGGCUGGAGACAUUGAUUCCAGAAAGUCUACUUCAGGCUACUUGAUUAAGUUUGCAGGGGGAGCUGUGGCAUGGCAAUCUAGAUUGUAGAGAUGUGUUGCAUUGUCCACUACUGAGGCAGAGUUCAUUGCCAUUACAGAAGCAUGCAAGGACUUGUUAUGGUUGAAGAAAUUCUUGCAGGAGCUUGGUUUUGUUCAAGAUAAGUACUUGCUAUUUUGUGAUAGUCAAGGUGCAAUUCAUCUUGGUAAGAAUUCAUGUUGGUACUUGCCAUUUUGUGAUAGUCAAGGUGCAAUUCAUCUUGGUAAGAAUUCAUGUUGGUACUUGCUAUUUUGUGAUAGUCAAGGUGCAAAACAAAGCCUCAAACUGGUAGUACCACGAAGAUACCUCAAAAUCCAUUUCACAGCAUUCCAGUGCUCUCUACCUGGAUUAGACAGAAAUCUACUAAUUGUACCAACAACAUGUGCAAUAUCAGGCCUUGUACACACCAUUGCAUACAUUAAACUACCCACAGCAGAUGCAUAAGGAACUCGUUGCAUAUCUGAUUUUUCAGCUUCAUUGGUAGGACUCUGACUAGUACUCAAUUUAAAAUGAGUAGCAAGAGGAGUACUUACAGCCUUAGCAUUUUCCAUCUGGAACCUCUGUAACACUCAAUCAACAUAGUGUUCUUGUGACAGCCAAAGUUUCUUCUUGUUCCUGUCACGCAUGAUUCUUAUACCAAGAAUCUUCUUAGCAGCUCCUAAUUGCUUCUUCAACCUGUCAAUCAAGGAAAUAUUUCUCCCAACAAUAAGCAUGUCAUCAACAUACAAUAACAGGAUAAUGAAAUCCUCAUCAGCAAACUUUUUAACAAAGACACAGUGAUCAAAAGUAGUCUUCUUGUAGCCUUGCUCACACAAAAUUGACUCAAACUUCUUGUACCACUGACGCGGGGCCUGCUUCAAACCAUAUAGACUCUUUCUGAGCCUACACACAUAGUCUUCCUUGCCUUUAACAAGAAAACCAUCAGGUUGCUUCAUGUAAAUCUCUUCCUCCAAAUCACCAUGAAGGAAAGCAGUUUUUACAUCCAUUUGCUCUACCUCCAAAUCAAGAGUAGCAGCCAAACUCAACACAGUUCUAAUGGAUGACAUCUUCACCACAGGAGAAAAAAUCUCAUUGAAAUCAACACCCUUUCUCUGUCUGAAACCUCUCACAACUAAUCUGGCUUUAUAUCUUGGAGAUGUAGAAUUGCUUUCUUGCUUCACUCUGAAGAUCCACCUGUUUUCCAAAGCCUUCUUUCCCUUAGGUAGUUUCACCAAAUCAAAAGUGUGAUUAUCAUGCAAAGACUUCAUUUCAUCUUGCAUAGCAUCCAACCACUUCUUCUUUUCAUCACUCUCCAUGGCUUCAUCAUAACAUUCAGGUUCGCCUCCAUCAGUCAAGGUAACAUAGUCAUAAGAAGGAUACCUGGUGGAUGAUUUCCUCUGCCUAGUAGAGCUCCAAACUUGAGCUUGAGGUGGUUCAGGAGCAUCACCAAGAUCCUCAUCUUGUGACAUCUCAUGUUCUUCUUCAGCAUCAUCAUUAGGAACAUCAAAAUCAUCUCCAAGCUCCUGAUCACCAACAUCACCAUGUUGCUCAUCAUUCUGAACAUUAUUUUCAGCAGUAUCCAGAUCAUGUAUAGGCAUCCGAACUGGAUCAACAUCAGACAAACCAUUAUCAAUCUCAGGUGUAGUCUUCUCCAUCUUAUCAAUGUCUUCAAUGGUUUGGUCUUCCAUGAACUUCACAUCACGGCUUCUAACAGCUUUCUUCUCAACUGGAUCAAACAGCUUGUAGCCAAAUUCAUCCUGACCAUAACCGAUAAAGAUGCACUGUCUUGUCUUCGCAUCCAACUUGGAUCUCUCAUCCUUUGGAACAUGCACAUAUGCUUUGCAACCGAAGACACGCAAAUGAUCAUACCUGACAUUCUUGCCAAACCAAAUCUUGUCUGGCACCUCAGCAUUCAAAGCAACUGCAGGACUCAGAUUAAUAACAUGCACUGCCGUGUACAAUGCUUCACCCCAGAAAUGCUUAGGCAACUUUGCUUCAGAAAGCAUACACCUAACUCUUUCAAUCAAUGUCUUGUUCAUUCUCUCUGCUAAACCAUUCAGCUGAGGAGUUUUAGGAGGAGUCUUUUCAUGUCUGAUACCGUGCUGCUUGCAAUAAGAAUCAAAUGGUCCACAAUAUUCACCACCAUUGUCAGUACGAAUGCAUUUGAACUUCUUUCCUGACUGUCUCUCCACCAUAACAUGGAACUCUUUGAAUUUCUCCAGAACUUGGUCUUUUGUCUUCAAAGCAUAGACCCAAAGCUUCCUGGAACAAUCAUCAAUAAAAGUAACAAAGUAAAGUGCACCACUAAAUGACUUUACCUUCAACGGGACACAAACAUCAGAAUGCACCAAUUCAAGCAACUCUGACUUCCUUGAGGGAGCAUGUUUCUUGAAGGAUACUCUAGUCUGCUUACCAGCCAUGCAAUGAGAAUAUUUCUCCAACUCUGAACUCUUUAAUCCCGGAAGUAAAUCCUUUUUAGCUAAAAAAUUCAGCCCCUUUUCACUGAUAUGACUAAGCCUGCGGUGCCACAAAGAAGACUCCAUAUCCAUGGCAUUCACACUGUCUUUAGCAACCAAUGCUUUAGUCCAAUAUAGUUUAUUAAUUUUCUCCCCUCUGGCCACAACUAAGUUACCUCUGGUGAGUUUCUAUUUUCCUGAACCAAAGUGAUUAUCAUAACCACCAUCAUCAAGCAUCUGCACAGAGAUCAAAUUAAAGCGAACAUUUGGAGCAUGUUUGACUCCUCUAAGCAACAACUGCACUCCCAUGUUGGUCUGCAAACAAACAUCACCAAUACCAACUACCUUGGACACACCAUCAUUACCCAUCUUCAACACUCCAAAGUCACCAGAAGUGUAAGAUGUGAAGAACUCCUUCCUUGGUGUAACAUGCAGUGUAGCACCACUAUCAAUAAUCCACAUGCUCUCAUCUGAUACAAGAUUGACUGAGUCAUAGUCACGGAGAAUAAUCAGAUCAUCACAAGUAGCAGUAGUAACACGGUCAUCAUCAUCAUGAUUCUUAUCUCUCUACUUACUGUUAUUGUUUUUGCUCUCCCUUUUCCAUAUGAAGCACGGUCAUCAUCAUCAGAUCAUCACAAGUAGCAGUAGUAACACGGUCAUCAUCAUCAUCAUGAUUCUUAUCUCCCUGUUUGUUCCCUUUCGGCUCCUUUCUUUGACUUCGGCCCCUGUUCUCAGUGACAAGUACCUCGGAAUGAGAUGAAGUACCUUGUGCCUUCCUUCUCAUCUCCUCAUUAAGAACACUUCCUUUUACACUUUGCAAAGAGACAACACCAUCAGAAGCUGAGUUUGUAAUUGAAACCCGAAAAGUUUCCCAAGAAUCUGGUAGAGUAUUCAGUAGCCAUAGUCCCAACACUUCAUCAUCAAAUUUGAUACCCAUACCUGACAAUUGAUCUAGGAGCCCUUGAAAAUCAUUUAAGUGAUCUGAAAUAGAAGUCCCCUCCUUGUACCUCAAAUUCAUCAAGGAGUUCAACAAACACAACUUAUUAUUAUCUGAUUCAGAAGCAUACUAAGAUUCAAUCUUCUUCCACAAGGAUCUUGCAUGUUCCUUAUUAGCAAUGUGAUUAUAAACAUUAUCUUCUACAUAUUGCCGAAUAAAACCACAAACCUGCUGAUGUUCAAAACUCCAAUCCUCAUAAGUCUUGGAUUCUGGCUUCUCACUAGCAAACACAGGAAGAUGCAAAUUCUUCACAAAUAACAGAUCCUUCAUUUUUCCCUUCCAUAAGUGAUAAUUAGUGCCAUUCAAACAAAUCAUUCUAUUUGUAUUUGCCUCCAUCAUUCAAACAAGUCAAACAUCCCCUUAACCAAAGAGCUCUGAUGCCACUCUGAUGGGAAAUUCAGCAACAAAUAACAAUAACAUCUAACAGAGCAAUAUGCAGCGGAUAAUCAAUUUCCCACACUUGCAAGAAUCUGUGAGGAGCAACAACAAAUAAUCACAGCAACUAAAAUCACUACCACAAAUGACACAAUAAUUUCAGUGUGAGAAGUAAACAACCACGGGACCAAGCCAGUAAUAGAGCUCCACUAUGAUCAAAAUAUGGGUACAAGAGAGUUUCAAAUAUGCACAAAUUCGUGCUCAGUAACCAGACAAAAAUCAGCAAGGUAACCAGCACAACAAUCGGCCAAAACAUUGAGAAAACAAGCAUGAAAUUGAGAACAAAGUUCAACAGAAAAACUAGGAAAAACAGCUACUGUCCGAGCUCAAUAUCUCCCACCUCAGACCUCUGAUCGACGAUCCAACCGGUCAGAUUGAAGUACCAUGAGGCACGAAGCUGCGGUCCAAAUUUCAGCCCGAUCCGACGGUGAAAGAAAGAGAAAUCGCGAAUCUAGUGCAGCUGCUCUGUUUUAUGCGAAAAUGGGUUUUGCUCUUCCUCUCUCACUUUUCUCUUUGCCUCACUCUCUAAAUUCAGCUCUCUCUCCCACUAAUCUGACCUCUCUCCACUUGGUUAAGUGAGACACAUGGGGUUGCACAUAUUGGGCCUUUCUCCACAUAGGAAGGGAGCCCAAAACCCAACAAUACACUGAUCCAUUAAGUUGGACAAACUUAUUUUAAGUUCAAGAAGUUUACUAUCGAAAAGUUGUUAGAAGCUUUUCCUCAAGAUUUUAAGGAUAAAGAUCUUCUCAAAUUUAAGGAUAAGCUCGAGUUCAAAAUACUUUUGAGCGUGUUGAUGCAGUUUUACUUAUUCAUAUAUUUGUAAAAAUCUCUCAAAGUAUUUCCAUUGUGAAAAUCUUUCAAAACAUAAACUUUUAUAAAAAUCUCUCAAAGUAUUUUAAGUUCAAAGUAUUUGUAAAAAUCUUUCAAAACAUAAACUUUUAUUGUUUCUAGCAACCUUUAAAUACAAUAAAUUAAUAAUUUGAAAUUAAUAAAAAUAAAACUAUCCAUAUAUAAAUUUAUAACAACCCAUUAUUAAUUAGUAAUUUGUAACAAUCCAAAACCUCACAUAAUUACUAUAAUUAAAAAUCAUAACGAUAUAAUGAUCAAUAAUAUUAAUAGAUUUACCUGGAUCUCUUGAGAUGGUAACAAGCUGGCUCACUUAGCAGCAACUUUAGCUGAAUCUGUGGACAGUCUCCCCUCCAGAUGUGAUUCAAUUAAUAGAGCUGCUAAGGACAACAGCACGAGCAAUAAAUAGAUCUCAGAUCAGAAGGAUCUGCACCUGCUGUUGGUUUAUUCUCCACCUUGUCUGGUGCAUCUCAAAUCCCUCACUGGUUCUGGUUUCGGUGCCACCGUUGCUGGCCUUACGUAAAUAUUUUGUUUUGCUUUCCAGAGGUUGUUAUCUCGUUUGGUGUUUUGAGUGGUUGGUAUUGCAAAACUUUUCAUGAGUUUAAAGAAUCUCUUUGUCUCUACUUUACUGUCACCGUUUGAGCUGUUGAUGGGAUUACUUUAUGCAUGUGGAGCUUAUCAAAUUCAAUGCUUCCAUGUGUUUACAUUGUCUUUAUGAGUUUUAGUAUAUUAUUAUUAUGUUCGUGGUCCAACAUGACUACACGGUUUUUUUUACCCUUUAUGGGUGUUAGAUGUAGCACUU